Non-coding RNA from Cucurbita pepo subsp. pepo (vegetable marrow), 266 nucleotides. Lineage: Eukaryota; Viridiplantae; Streptophyta; Magnoliopsida; Cucurbitales; Cucurbitaceae. The record is from RefSeq and is a predicted model, not a curated record.
UCUCUUUGAAAUUUAACAGGAUUCAUAUAAGUACUGCGCUUCUGAGCUCCUAAAGGAAGCUAGAGGGAUUUGGUCGGAUUUCCUCAUUAUUCUUCUCUCAGACGAGUGGAAAAAGUGCAAAAGAGUAAUUGAAGCCCCAUCACCAAGGAAAGAACCAAAAUGCAUGCUCUUGCACCAUGCGAAGGCUUCUGUUGUAGAUGAUGCUGUUCCACCUGAAUCAUCAUUCGCUGCUGGUCAAAGAAUGUCUGAGUUGGUUAAGGUACUUC